This 87-nucleotide non-coding RNA is filed under the name Pseudobacillus badius. Its description in RNAcentral is "Bacillus badius c-di-GMP sequence". It matches the Rfam family "c-di-GMP-I riboswitch aptamer". Rfam says of the family: GEMM was predicted in a large-scale screen for bacterial structured RNA regulatory elements. Genes associated with GEMM are involved in a diverse array of functions, including chemotaxis regulation, signal transduction, secretion and chitin. Lineage: Bacteria; Bacillati; Bacillota; Bacilli; Caryophanales; Bacillaceae. The record is from RNAcentral.
GAGUGUGAAAAGCAAACUAAUCGAAAGGUUAGGACGCAAAGCCGACGGGUCUAAAAUCAAAUGGAUUAGGACGGCUGGGCUGCCUCU